This 1158-nucleotide ribosomal RNA is filed under the name Fusarium sp. RNAcentral's name for it is "eukaryotic LSU rRNA". It matches the Rfam family "Eukaryotic large subunit ribosomal RNA", at positions 132 to 1318 of the family's 3401-position model. Lineage: Eukaryota; Fungi; Ascomycota; Sordariomycetes; Hypocreales; Nectriaceae. The record is from RNAcentral.
UCGGGCCCGAGUUGUAAUUUGUAGAGGAUACUUUUGAUGCGGUGCCUUCCGAGUUCCCUGGAACGGGACGCCAUAGAGGGUGAGAGCCCCGUCUGGUUGGAUGCCAAAUCUCUGUAAAGUUCCUUCGACGAGUCGAGUAGUUUGGGAAUGCUGCUCUAAAUGGGAGGUAUAUGUCUUCUAAAGCUAAAUACCGGCCAGAGACCGAUAGCGCACAAGUAGAGUGAUCGAAAGAUGAAAAGCACUUUGAAAAGAGAGUUAAAAAGUACGUGAAAUUGUUGAAAGGGAAGCGUUUAUGACCAGACUUGGGCUUGGUUAAUCAUCUGGGGUUCUCCCCAGUGCACUUUUCCAGUCCAGGCCAGCAUCAGUUUUCCCCGGGGGAUAAAGACUUCGGGAAUGUGGCUCUCUUCGGGGAGUGUUAUAGCCCGUUGUGUAAUACCCUGGGGGGGACUGAGGUUCGCGCAUCUGCAAGGAUGCUGGCGUAAUGGUCAUCAACGACCCGUCUUGAAACACGGACCAAGGAGUCGUCUUCGUAUGCGAGUGUUCGGGUGUCAAACCCCUACGCGUAAUGAAAGUGAACGCAGGUGAGAGCUUCGGCGCAUCAUCGACCGAUCCUGAUGUUCUCGGAUGGAUUUGAGUAAGAGCAUACGGGGCCGGACCCGAAAGAAGGUGAACUAUGCCUGUAUAGGGUGAAGCCAGAGGAAACUCUGGUGGAGGCUCGCAGCGGUUCUGACGUGCAAAUCGAUCGUCAAAUAUGGGCAUGGGGGCGAAAGACUAAUCGAACCUUCUAGUAGCUGGUUUCCGCCGAAGUUUCCCUCAGGAUAGCAGUGUUGAACUCAGUUUUAUGAGGUAAAGCGAAUGAUUAGGGACUCGGGGGCGCUAUUUAGCCUUCAUCCAUUCUCAAACUUUAAAUAUGUAAGAAGCUCUUGUUGCUUAAUUGAACGUGAGCAUUCGAAUGUAUCAACACUAGUGGGCCAUUUUUGGUAAGCAGAACUGGCGAUGCGGGAUGAACCGAACGCGAGGUUAAGGUGCCAGAGUAGACGCUCAUCAGACACCACAAAAGGUGUUAGUACAUCUUGACAGCAGGACGGUGGCCAUGGAAGUCGGAAUCCGCUAAGGACUGUGUAACAACUCACCUGCCGAAUGUACUAGCCCUGAAAA